RNAcentral lists this unclassified non-coding RNA (380 nucleotides) under uncultured fungus. Its description in RNAcentral is "partial contains 5.8S ribosomal RNA and internal transcribed spacer 2". The stretch from base 1 to 133 matches the Rfam family "5.8S ribosomal RNA", at positions 22 to 154 of the family's 154-position model. The record is from RNAcentral. Lineage: Eukaryota; Fungi.
UGGCUCUCGCAUCGAUGAAGAACGCAGCGAAAUGCGAUAAGUAAUGUGAAUUGCAGAAUUCAGUGAAUCAUCGAAUCUUUGAACGCACCUUGCGCCCCUUGGUAUUCCGAGGGGCAUGCCUGUUUGAGUGUCAUUAAAUUCUCAACCACUCUUAGCUUUUGCUAAGCAGUGGCUUGGACAUGGGGGUCUUUUGCUGGUCUCGAAAGAAAUCUGCUCCCCUUAAAAAUAUUAGCUGGCAUCCUAUGUGGAACUGUCUAUUGGCGUGAUAAUUAUCUACGCCGUUAGAUGUCUACAAUAUUAUUGGGUUAUGCUGCUUCUAGUCGUCCUUUUUGGACAAUUAUUGACCAUUUGACCUCAAAUCAGGUAGGACUACCCGCUGA